UACGAAGGGGGCUAGCGUUGUUCGGAAUCACUGGGCGUAAAGCGCACGUAGGCGGAUUGUUAAGUCGGGGGUGAAAUCCCGAGGCUCAACCUCGGAACUGCCUUCGAUACUGGCGAUCUUUGAGUCCGGGAGAGGUGAGUGGAACUCCGAGUGUAGAGGUGAAAUUCGUAGAUAUUCGGAAGAACACCAGUGGCGAAGGCGGCUCACUGGCCCGGUACUGACGCUGAGGUGCGAAAGCGUGGGGAGCAAACAGG
RNAcentral lists this ribosomal RNA (254 nucleotides) under uncultured bacterium. RNAcentral's name for it is "partial 16S ribosomal RNA". It matches the Rfam family "Bacterial small subunit ribosomal RNA", at positions 524 to 776 of the family's 1533-position model. The record is from RNAcentral.